Molecule: ribosomal RNA, 593 nt
Filed under: Cynopotamus venezuelae
Lineage: Eukaryota; Metazoa; Chordata; Actinopteri; Characiformes; Characidae
Description: partial 16S large subunit ribosomal RNA
Rfam family: Bacterial large subunit ribosomal RNA
Source: RNAcentral
CAAAAACAUCGCCUCUUGCUAAAACCAAAAUAUAAGAGGUCUUACCUGCCCAGUGACAUUAAGUUAAACGGCCGCGGUAUUCUGACCGUGCUAAGGUAGCGCAAUCACUUGUCUUUUAAAUGAAGACCUGUAUGAAUGGUGGAACGAGGGCUUAACUGUCUCCCUUUUUAGGUCAGUGAAAUUGAUCUGUCCGUGCAGAAGCGGACAUGAAUAUACAAGACGAGAAGACCCUUUGGAGCUUAAGAUACAAGGCCAACUAUGUCAAAAAUCCCUAUAAAAAGGAAUAAAACAUAAUAAUAACUGACCAACGUCUUCGGUUGGGGCGACCACGGGGGAAAGAAAAGCCCCCAUGUAGAUUGGGAUAAACCUAAAACUACGAGGGACACCUCUAAGUCACAGAACAUCUGACUAAAUGAUCCGGCCUUACAGCCGAUCAACGAACUAAGUUACCCUAGGGAUAACAGCGCAAUCCCCUCCAAGAGUUCAUAUCGACAAGGGGGUUUACGACCUCGAUGUUGGAUCAGGACAUCCUAAUGGUGCAGCCGCUAUUAAGGGUUCGUUUGUUCAACGAUUAAAGUCCUACGUGAUCUGAG